Centrocercus urophasianus (Greater sage-grouse) is the source of this 605-nucleotide long non-coding RNA. RefSeq lists it as uncharacterized. The transcript has 3 exons. The record is from RefSeq and is a predicted model, not a curated record. NCBI's taxonomy places the organism in Eukaryota, Metazoa, Chordata, Aves, Galliformes, Phasianidae.
AGCAAGGGCAGCAGCAAUGCAAGCUUCCCCACAUUGUCCUGCCAAUGUUCCUCAACCCAGUUCGGAAGAGGUCACUUCUGGAGGCAGCUGUGUGGUGGUUUUCCAAGAGACCCUGGGGCCCCAGUGAUGACCCCAGCAACCUAAGAUAACCUGGAGAACCAUGCUGAUUACAAAGAUCUUUCUGCUUAUGACAAGAGUGGAAUAUCAUUUCUGUUCUUUCAAAUUAGAUGAUCCUGCUACAAAUAGAAAAAUCCUACCGUUCUGUUAUCUUUUGCUCCAUCUUCCCCAUUCCCCCCCAUUUUAAGGUACGCUUUGUGAUAAUAGAGGAGUGCUGUGUACCACGAUUGAUUGAUGUGACUGUCAAAGAUGUUUAACUCCUCUGUGAAUCGCUGGUGCAAUACAGUUUUGUAGUAACUAUGAAAUAAAAAGUUAAGUACAGAAAUCGGCUCCUUAGUCAUGUCUUUAAAGGAAUUCUUUCUGUUACAUAAUCCCAUGCCCCUGCCCUCCAUGUUUGAGUUAGUUCAGUUGAGUGAGCAGAAAUCACGAUAGGUAAUGUGUGUUUUCAGGUCGUAAUCACCUUCCUCAGGUGGUUUUAUGAACAUUAC